Molecule: ribosomal RNA, 468 nt
Filed under: uncultured bacterium
Lineage: Bacteria
Description: partial 16S ribosomal RNA
Rfam family: Bacterial small subunit ribosomal RNA
Source: RNAcentral
GACGAACGCUGGCGGCGUGCUUAACACAUGCAAGUCGAACGGAAAGGCCCUGCUUUUGUGGGGUGCUCGAGUGGCGAACGGGUGAGUAACACGUGAGUAACCUGCCCCUGACUUUGGGAUAACUUCAGGAAACUGGGGCUAAUACCGGAUAGGAGCUCCUGCCGCAUGGUGGGGGUUGGAAAGUUUCGGCGGUUGGGGAUGGACUCGCGGCUUAUCAGCUUGUUGGUGGGGUAGUGGCUUACCAAGGCUUUGACGGGUAGCCGGCCUGAGAGGGUGACCGGCCACAUUGGGACUGAGAUACGGCCCAGACUCCUACGGGAGGCAGCAGUGGGGAAUAUUGCACAAUGGGCGGAAGCCUGAUGCAGCAACGCCGCGUGCGGGAUGACGGCCUUCGGGUUGUAAACCGCUUUCGCCUGUGACGAAGCGUGAGUGACGGUAAUGGGUAAAGAAGCACCGGCUAACUACGUG